UCCCCCAAUCUUGAAUCCAUUAAUAUAAAUCCAACAACUUCUAUCUUUACAUGCUUAUUCGUCUCAGGUUUUUCUUUUUUUGUUAAUUAUUUAUUUAUUUAUUUCUCAUCAAAAAUCUCCACUAACUUUUUUUGUUAAUUAAUUUGUUGGGAUGUUAGGGUUGUUUUGUAAGUUGUGUCGAAAAUGGAUGGAGACGUGAGAAUAAAACGGCAUGGGAGGAAUUGGCAAGAUUAAGGUAAUCUCUACCUCUUCCUGGAUAGAUCUUGGAACAAAUUCACUUUAAGCUUCUAAUCGUGUAUUUUCUUGGAAAUUAAAUUACUUCAUUGCACCACUGAUUCCUCUAGGAAUUCUUUAUCAUGAGUAAUUCCGUACAUGAAUCAUCAUCUUUAUGAAUACGGAGUGCCAGAGUAUUGUUGAGGUCGAGAUUUUUUCUUUUAUGGUUUUUUAUUUAGAGAUUAUACAUCGUUGAUUUUAAGGCGGAUUUUUGAAAAAAAUCGACAUAAAUAAUUGGUUUGAUUUUAAUGGGUCAAUUAGAUAGUUGCUGAUGUACCAACUUAUCCGAAUUUUUAGGUUUUUAUAUCGAGAUGAUGCAUCGUGUGACUCCUGAGAUUCAUAUAGUUCGUUGUUUUUCCUCUGUCUAUUCUUGACAUAUUGAUUUGUGAUGGGGCUAUGUUGUGGGGAUAGGGAAGAAUUGAAGUUGGGGUUUGAGAAAUUUGCUACUAUUUUAAUUGUUUAACUAGUGAUGGUGAUCUGUUCGAUGAAAUGCCUGCCCUGACUUCAUAUUGAAUUUGGAUAUGAUGAUAGUUUUGCUAUUUUAUUUAUUCUACUGUGAACUUAUGGGUCUAGAAUUAGUUGUUUUAAUUGUGUUCUUGUUUGUUUCUCAACAUUGUCUUACAGUCCCUUAAAUAAUACAAUGUUUGUGAAAAUUCUUGUUUUCUCCUUCUUGACUUGAUCUUUUCUCAAGAUUGAAAUUGAAAUUGAACUUUUUCUCAAGAUGUCCAUAUUUACAUUCUAUGUUGUUUGGGUUGGCAAGUGCUCCGGUAUUUAUAGCACAUGGCCCAGGGUGAGGAGGGUGAACGUAUUACACCUUUGAUGCGGCAUAUUAUGCAAAGUACUUACCGGCUAAUGCAUAUGCAUAUUAUGCAAGGUACCUUUUGCGGAUGCACUGACAACGUUGGCCUCCUUGAUUCACAUACCUGACAAGAAAAUAUGUCAAGCAUCACAUUUGUCCUGCAAAAAGCCCCAGCUUAUAGGAACUAUGUUGGAGAAGUAUAUGAUGAGCUACCUCGCAUCCAAAACCCUUGGUAUCGACAUAACGGAUGAGUUAAUUUAAAAUUGUAAUAUGACUUCUGUAUGACUGGUGUAUUGUUGCUACAUUGGUGUUGUUCUGAUUCUGUUUUGCUGUUUCAUUUUGUAAUACACGAUAAUUAUAAUAUAGACCCUAUUUCUAAGGCAGUUGUAAUGCAUACUUUUAUGUAAACUUUGUUUUGGCUUGAUGGCUGCUCGAUGUAAAUAAUUUUGUUUAUUAAUUAUGCCUUUUGAUUGGGUUAAUCAGGGGCAAUCAGGGGCAGAACUGUGUAUAUUUCAGGGGGUUUUUGAAUAGGCAUGUAUAUUAUGCGUGUGUUAGUCACCUAUCUUAGAACAAGACAACGAAUCACAUUUCAUCUCUAUUGUUUUGCUUAAAUCUGCAAAUUAUGAACUUGC
This 1704-nucleotide long non-coding RNA is filed under the name Panax ginseng (ginseng). RNAcentral's name for it is "long non-coding RNA (PGIN_LNC008823)". Lineage: Eukaryota; Viridiplantae; Streptophyta; Magnoliopsida; Apiales; Araliaceae. The record is from RNAcentral.